CCUGGGCUACAAAGUGAGUUCCAGGAAAGGCACAAAGCUACACAGAGAAACCCUGUCUGAACAAAAACAAAAACAAAAAAAAGGGGGGGGGAUCUGUUCAGAUCCUUUGUCUGUUUUUCAGUUGCCCCGGUUCUGAGUGGGCUAUUUGCUUUCUUCCUGCUGGAGUCAUAGUUUGACUGUUUACCCUUUACCAGAUACUGUCAGAAAAUAUUUUAUUUCAGUUCAUACGUUGUUUCUUUUCCUGUUGAUCGUGCCUUUUCCUGAUUAAUGAAAUGCUGCCCGCUGUUAUUUCCUAUUCUUUGGGGGUCAGUAUGUGUAGUGGUCACUUCCACAGCAUUUUCACGGCAUACAUGAGAGAGAACAACUCCGGGUUCCUUCUGGCUCAUGCUCCCAGAAGUUGCACGUCAGCACAGCGGAGAAGGCAGAGCAGAGCAGCUUAGACGGUAUGGAAGCAACUGGGGGACUUGAUGGCAGCAGUGUAUGUGGUGCAUGCUGAUGACGUCACAGAACCAGGAAGUAAGGAGUCAGCCAGGACCAGAAGUCAGGUGGAUGUUAUCCCCUCUGAUGCUCCAUAUGUUUCAUCUAUCAUUAAUGAGAGCCCCUGAGAUCGGCUGUUGCCUCCUUUUGACAUGUCCCCAAAAGUCAUACAUAUGCACCCAUUUCUGACGUAAGGUGCCAAUGAUUUACCUUUUGGGUUCUUUCCAUGAAGAAGAUUCAUAAGAUGGGCAAAACUUAUCAUUCACAUCUUUUUAUAAAAGUGGGCUGACCUGAAGAAGUCAACCCCAGCCUUCCAGGGGGCAAGCUGCUCCCAGAGCUGGCAGAGGGCCCAGGCUAGUGGGUAGUGGAAAAACAACUACAAAAGACACUUGAAAAUCCCACACAAGACAGCAAGACUCCCAAAGUCUUUUGCCUAUGGGAGGUCAGUGUUAUUUUUAUUAUCAUGUCUAACAUCAACCCAAG
Peromyscus maniculatus bairdii (prairie deer mouse) is the source of this 960-nucleotide long non-coding RNA. RefSeq lists it as uncharacterized. Lineage: Eukaryota; Metazoa; Chordata; Mammalia; Rodentia; Cricetidae. The record is from RefSeq and is a predicted model, not a curated record.